RNAcentral lists this ribosomal RNA (271 nucleotides) under uncultured prokaryote. Its description in RNAcentral is "partial 16S ribosomal RNA". It matches the Rfam family "Bacterial small subunit ribosomal RNA", at positions 524 to 794 of the family's 1533-position model. The record is from RNAcentral.
UACGUAGGUGGCAAGCGUUAUCCGGAAUUAUUGGGCGUAAAGAGCGCGCAGGUGGUUGAUUAAGUCUGAUGUGAAAGCCCACGGCUUAACCGUGGAGGGUCAUUGGAAACUGGUCGACUUGAGUGCAGAAGAGGGAAGUGGAAUUCCAUGUGUAGCGGUGAAAUGCGUAGAUAUUGGGAGGAACACCGGUGGCGAAGGCGGCUUUCUGGCCAGUUACUGACGCUCAUGCGCGAAAGCUGGGGUAGCGAACCGGAUUAGAUACCCGUGUAGU